UCAGGACGAACGCUGGCGGCGUGCUUAACACAUGCAAGUCGAACGGAGGAUUAUUCGGUAGAUCCUUAGUGGCGAACGGGUGAGUAACGCGUGGGCAAUCUGCCCUUCAGAUGGGGACAACAUCCCGAAAGGGGUGCUAAUACCGAAUACGAUCCUUCCACCGCAUGGAGGGGGGAUGAAAGAUGGCCUCUAUAUAUAAGCUAUCGCUGAAGGACGAGCCUGCGUCUGAUUAGCUUGUUGGUGGGGUAACGGCCUACCAAGGCGAUGAUCAGUAGCCGGUCUGAGAGGAUGAACGGCCACAUUGGGACUGAGACACGGCCCAAACUCCUACGGGAGGCAGCAGUGGGGAAUAUUCCGCAAUGGACGAAAGUCUGACGGAGCAACGCCGCGUGAAGUGAUGAAGGUUUUCGGACUGUAAAGCUCUGUUGUUUGGGACGAAAGUGCCUGUUGCGAACAGUUACGGGUAUUGACGGUACUAAACGAGGAAGCCACGGCUAACUACGUGCCAGCAGCCGC
This 516-nucleotide ribosomal RNA is filed under the name uncultured bacterium. RNAcentral describes it as "bacterial SSU rRNA". It matches the Rfam family "Bacterial small subunit ribosomal RNA", at positions 24 to 518 of the family's 1533-position model. The record is from RNAcentral.